Molecule: ribosomal RNA, 698 nt
Filed under: bacterium enrichment culture clone bHCH1_D2
Lineage: Bacteria
Description: bacterial SSU rRNA
Rfam family: Bacterial small subunit ribosomal RNA
Source: RNAcentral
GGCAAGUCGAGCGGAUUUCACGGAGCUUGCUUCCGUGACUUCAGCGGCGGACGGGUGAGUAACACGUGGGCAACCUGCCUGUAAGACAGGGAUAACUUCGGGAAACCGGAGCUAAUACCGGAUAACUCUUCGGACCACAUGGACUGAAGAUAAAAGAUGGUUCUGCUAUCACUUACAGAUGGGCCCGCGGCGCAUUAGCUAGUUGGUGAGGUAACGGCUCACCAAGGCGACGAUGCGUAGCCGACCUGAGAGGGUGAUCGGCCACACUGGGACUGAGACACGGCCCAGACUCCUACGGGAGGCAGCAGUAGGGAAUCUUCCGCAAUGGACGAAAGUCUGACGGAGCAACGCCGCGUGAGCGAUGAAGGCCUUCGGGUCGUAAAGCUCUGUUGUUAGGGAAGAACAAGUAUCAGUUAACUGCUGGUACCUUGACGGUACCUAACGAGAAAGCCACGGCUAACUACGUGCCAGCAGCCGCGGUAAUACGUAGGUGGCAAGCGUUGUCCGGAUUUAUUGGGCGUAAAGCGCGCGCAGGGCGGUUCCUUAAGUCUGAUGUGAAAGCCCACGGCUCAACCGUGGAGGGUCAUUGGAAACUGGGGAACUUGAGUGCGAAGAGGAGAGCGGAAUUCCACGUGUAGCGGUGAAAUGCGUAGAGAUGUGGAGGAAACACCAGUGGCGAAGGCGGCCUCUCUGGUUCU